This is a long non-coding RNA of Gavialis gangeticus (Gharial), 190 nucleotides long. RefSeq lists it as uncharacterized. The record is from RefSeq and is a predicted model, not a curated record. Lineage: Eukaryota; Metazoa; Chordata; Crocodylia; Gavialidae. The transcript has 3 exons.
AGCCUUGACCAUCUUCUGUAGCAAGAAGUAUCCUCUGUUCAAUGCUGCCUUUGGAUUUGCUUUUUGGGAAGCUGUAGGGUAGAUGAUCUACCCUCUUGUCUAAAACUUAGGAAAUUCAGGGCAAUUAAGAAACAUUCAGCUGAUGCCAGGACACUUCCUAAAGGAAUCUGGGCUCUUUCUUUACUCACCA